This is a long non-coding RNA of Fukomys damarensis (Damara mole-rat), 1639 nucleotides long. The record is from Ensembl. NCBI's taxonomy places the organism in Eukaryota, Metazoa, Chordata, Mammalia, Rodentia, Bathyergidae.
AUGAUUGGGGAAUUGCUGACUUGUACUACAAGAGAAAAUAUGAAGCUACUUUUCAAACUGCUUGUUAUUCAUCAAGUCCACAUACAAAGCAUUCAUCAAAGUUUGAGCACACUUCAUAAAGACAUUCAUGAACGAGGACUUCCAAAACUGCUCCAGAACGUGCUUUUUAAAGUGAUGCAUCAUCAAAACAUCGUGUUUUCUUAUAAGCUUCAAGAAAAGGAAGGUUAAAAAAAAAAUCUCAUGACCUUCUCUACAAUUGGCCGAAAUUUUCAUGCUUUUCACUCAGUCUCCAUUAGUCGAAAGUGGUUUUAGCUAGCUGUACUCAAGCAUUUCAGUCAAUUACUAGCUUUUAUCUUGUUGUUAUCAUAAAGGGCCAUUUCUUUCCUAAAAUGGUCAAUUAAGUUCAUAAAAUAAAUGUUGAGGCAUAUAAAAUUUGUUAGCUGUACUGUCGGGAGUACACUGGUCUUGGGGAAAAACAUUUCAGAGUAUUUCUUAAUGAAUAGAAAUAGCUUUCAUCCCACAAGAUGUUUGUUCGCAUUUCUCUUUUCUCUGGCUUCAAUUCUGUUAACAACACAGUAAUUGUGUAUUGGAAAGCUCUUAAAAUACCCACCUCCUACUUUUAAAAGAAUCCUCUGUUUUUGCUUAACUAUUCCAUUUGUGUAAAGUGCAUUUUGAAAUAAAUUGAGGUAGGAGGUUUUACCUUGAAAACAACAGAAAAAGAUUCAUUUUUAAAAUUUUGACAAUAACUUUAAGGAAUAAAGAUUUGGAGUAACUUAAACAGAAUGGUAAAUUGAGAAUUGUUACAUAGAAGUGGAGAAUUCAUGAAAUACAGGAGAAAGUGAGGGGAAGCAGAUGCCUACAAGACAUCAGGCUCACAGUGCUACCUUCGUUGAACAUCUUUUGAUUAAUUGCUGCUUUUGUUCUUUUUUUUUUUUUGGUAUUGGGGAUCAAACUCUGGUCCUUGCGCUUACGAGGCAGGCCACCGAACCGCUGAGCUCAAUCCCCGGCCCUCUGCUUUUGUUCUUAAGUAAAAGGCAUUUACUAUGUGUCACACUGCAGGAGCAAUUGAUAUUCUAGUGCUAACAGGAACAACAAAUUAAAUCAUGUAGUAUAACAUCUUCUAGUCUUGCCAGGGAUAUGCAGUCCAUAAAGGUGAAAUUUGAAUAGUGUUUUUCUGAAUUAUGUGCUAGAAAUGGAUAGUUGGAAGUAACUCCUUCUAGGAAAAAAAAAUGUAGUUUUAUGCAUGCUUCCUAUAGUGCUGCAAAUAAAGAUCCACAGAUAUUUUAGGAGGAAAAACUGUGACUUAAGUUUCCAUUCUCUCAGUAACCACAUCCAACGGAGUAGCAAAAAAAUGUUACUGAGUAAAGCUACUGCAACCAACUAGUUUUUAUUUCUCACUUUGCAUUUAAAAUCUCUGUUAGAAUAUUGAUGAACCAAGAUGACAUUUAAAUUCGGGUUACCUAGGCCAAGAGACAUACAUUUUUCUUCAAACAAUAGUUUGACUACCACUGAAGGUAUUUUUCUGAUGAGAUUAGCGUAUGACAGAAGACUGAAAGAAGCAGAUUACUCUCCAUGUGGUGGGCCUCAUCCAAUCAGUUGAAGGCCUUGGGGGCAGUAGGAUCAAUAUUAAGAAAAGGCA